This 387-nucleotide ribosomal RNA is filed under the name uncultured bacterium. RNAcentral's name for it is "bacterial SSU rRNA". It matches the Rfam family "Bacterial small subunit ribosomal RNA", at positions 30 to 417 of the family's 1533-position model. The record is from RNAcentral.
AUUGAACGCUGGCGGCAUGCCUUACACAUGCAAGUCGAACGGCAGCACGGGGGCAACCCUGGUGGCGAGUGGCGAACGGGUGAGUAAUAUAUCGGAACAUGCCCUGAAGUGGGGGAUAACGUAGCGAAAGUUACGCUAAUACCGCAUAUUCUGUGAGCAGGAAAGCAGGGGAUCGCAAGACCUUGCGCUUUAGGAGUGGCCGAUAUCGGAUUAGCUAGUUGGUGAGGUAAAAGCUCACCAAGGCGACGAUCCGUAGCGGGUCUGAGAGGAUGAUCCGCCACACUGGGACUGAGACACGGCCCAGACUCCUACGGGAGGCAGCAGUGGGGAAUUUUGGACAAUGGGCGCAAGCCUGAUCCAGCCAUGCCGCGUGAGUGAAGAAGGCCU